Molecule: ribosomal RNA, 691 nt
Filed under: Bacillus sp. Pd-E-(s)-l-D-2(2)
Lineage: Bacteria; Bacillati; Bacillota; Bacilli; Caryophanales; Bacillaceae
Description: bacterial SSU rRNA
Rfam family: Bacterial small subunit ribosomal RNA
Source: RNAcentral
CCGGAUAGUUCCUUGAACCGCAUGGUUUCAAGGAUGAAAGACGGUUUCGGCUGUCACUUACAGAUNGACCCGCGGCGCAUUAGCUAGUUGGUGAGGUAACGGCUCACCAAGGCGACGAUGCGUAGCCGACCUGAGAGGGUGAUCGGCCACACUGGGACUGAGACACGGCCCAGACUCCUACGGGAGGCAGCAGUAGGGAAUCUUCCGCAAUGGACGAAAGUCUGACGGAGCAACGCCGCGUGAGUGAUGAAGGUUUUCGGAUCGUAAAGCUCUGUUGUUAGGGAAGAACAAGUGCAAGAGUAACUGCUUGCACCUUGACGGUACCUAACCAGAAAGCCACGGCUAACUACGUGCCAGCAGCCGCGGUAAUACGUAGGUGGCAAGCGUUGUCCGGAAUUAUUGGGCGUAAAGGGCUCGCAGGCGGUUUCUUAAGUCUGAUGUGAAAGCCCCCGGCUCAACCGGGGAGGGUCAUUGGAAACUGGGAAACUUGAGUGCAGAAGAGGAGAGUGGAAUUCCACGUGUAGCGGUGAAAUGCGUAGAGAUGUGGAGGAACACCAGUGGCGAAGGCGACUCUCUGGUCUGUAACUGACGCUGAGGAGCGAAAGCGUGGGGAGCGAACAGGAUUAGAUACCCUGGUAGUCCACGCCGUAAACGAUGAGUGCUAAGUGUUAGGGGGUUUCCGCCCCUUAGU